GGGGUUGUAAGCUAGCUUGGUAGACUGCCAGCUUCGGGAGCUGGACGCCUGAGUUCAAAUCUCAGCAACCCCA
Molecule: transfer RNA, 73 nt
Filed under: Microcaldota archaeon
Lineage: Archaea; Nanobdellati; Microcaldota
Description: Candidatus Micrarchaeota archaeon (hot springs metagenome) tRNA-Pro
Rfam family: tRNA
About the family: Transfer RNA (tRNA) molecules are approximately 80 nucleotides in length. Their secondary structure includes four short double-helical elements and three loops (D, anti-codon, and T loops).
Source: RNAcentral